GCGGACGGGUGAGUAAUGUCUGGGAAACUGCCUGAUGAGGGGGAUAACUACUGGAAACGGUAGCUAAUACCGCAUAACGUCGCAAGACCAAANAGGGGGACCUUCGGGCCUCUUGCCAUCGGAUGUGCCCAGAUGGGAUUAGCUAGUAGGUGGGGUAACGGCUCACCUAGGCGACGAUCCCUAGCUGGUCUGAGAGGAUGACCAGCCACACUGGAACUGAGACACGGUCCAGACUCCUACGGGAGGCAGCAUG
RNAcentral lists this ribosomal RNA (253 nucleotides) under uncultured bacterium. RNAcentral's name for it is "partial 16S ribosomal RNA". It matches the Rfam family "Bacterial small subunit ribosomal RNA", at positions 98 to 353 of the family's 1533-position model. The record is from RNAcentral.